UANCAUGCAGUCGAGCGGAGUUNAUAANAAGCUUGCUUCUUUGAGACUUANCGGCNGACGGGCUGUAGUAACACGUAGGNAACCUGCCCUUUAGCCUGGGAUAACUACCGGAAACGGUAGCUAAUACCGGAUACUUUCUUUUUCUGCAUGGGAGAAGAACGAAAGACGGAGCAAUCUGUCACUGAAGGAUGGGCCUGCGGCGCAUUAGCUAGUUGNUGGNGUAACGGCUCACCAAGGCGACGAUGCGUAGCCGACCUGAGAGGGUGAUCGGCCACACUGGGACUGAGACACGGCCCAGACUCCUACGGGAGGCAGCAGUAGGGAAUCUUCCGCAAUGGGCGAAAGCCUGACGGAGCAACGCCGCGUGAGUGAUGAAGGUUUUCGGAUCGUAAAGCUCUGUUGCCAGGGAAGAACGUCUUGGAGAGUAACUGCUCUGAGAGUGACGGUACCUGAGAAGAAAGCCCCGGCUAACUACGUGCCAGCAGCCGCGGUAAUACGUAGGGGGCAAGCGUUGUCCGGAAUUAUUGGGCGUAAAGCGCGCGCAGGCGGCCGUUUAAGUCCGGUGUUUAAUCCCGAAGCUCAACUUCGGGUCGCACUGGAAACUGGAGGGCUUGAGUGCAGAAGAGGAGAGUGGAAUUCC
Molecule: ribosomal RNA, 640 nt
Filed under: bacterium Ca.J28
Lineage: Bacteria
Description: bacterial SSU rRNA
Rfam family: Bacterial small subunit ribosomal RNA
Source: RNAcentral